GUGAUUGACAGAGCUUUGAGAGUUUUACUGGCCGUCAAAUUUGGUUCUCGACCCGCUGUCACCAAUUACGCUGCUUUUUCCUUUUUAUUAACUCCUAUACUUGUGUACGCCCAAAGCCAGAUUGUUUUGGGCGUUUUUUU
Molecule: non-coding RNA, 140 nt
Organism: Vibrio cholerae O1
Lineage: Bacteria; Pseudomonadati; Pseudomonadota; Gammaproteobacteria; Vibrionales; Vibrionaceae
Rfam family: Vibrio regulatory RNA of OmpA
Source: Rfam